This 247-nucleotide ribosomal RNA is filed under the name uncultured bacterium. RNAcentral describes it as "partial 16S ribosomal RNA". It matches the Rfam family "Bacterial small subunit ribosomal RNA", at positions 524 to 776 of the family's 1533-position model. The record is from RNAcentral.
UACGAAGGGGGCUAGCGUUGCUCGGAAUCACUGGGCGUAAAGGGUGCGUAGGCGGGUCUUUAAGUCAGGGGUGAAAUCCUGGAGCUCAACUCCAGAACUGCCUUUGAUACUGAAGAUCUUGAGUUCGGGAGAGGUGAGUGGAACUGCGAGUGUAGAGGUGAAAUUCGUAGAUAUUCGCAAGAACACCAGUGGCGAAGGCGGCUCACUGGCCCGAUACUGAGACACGAAAGCCAGGGGAGCGAACGGG